AUGCCCCUGGUGGAUAAACUUUCUAAUAAAAUGAAGGGCUGGAAACCAAAGCUUUUGCCGGCAGCGGGGCGGCUCACUCUGGUAAACUCGGUGCUCAUGGCGCUGCCGCUUCACCUAAUGGCAGUGCUUCCUCUGCCGGUCUGGGCGAUCAAGCUCAUAAACAGAAGGUGUCGGGGGUUCAUUUGGGAAGGGGAGGAGGCCAUCAGUGGUGGGCACUGUCUAGUGCCAUGG
This 231-nucleotide ribosomal RNA is filed under the name Triticum aestivum (bread wheat). RNAcentral's name for it is "partial small subunit ribosomal RNA". The record is from RNAcentral. Lineage: Eukaryota; Viridiplantae; Streptophyta; Magnoliopsida; Poales; Poaceae.